This is a regulatory RNA element of Alicycliphilus denitrificans K601, 157 nucleotides long. It matches the Rfam family "radC RNA". Lineage: Bacteria; Pseudomonadati; Pseudomonadota; Betaproteobacteria; Burkholderiales; Comamonadaceae. The record is from Rfam.
ACGCUGGCCGCAUGUUCGCUGGCGUUGCCGGCAGCAUGCCCAGGCAGUCGAGACCUUCAAGACUGCGGCGCGGUUCGCCGUGCUGGUUGUUUCGUUCUCCGGGCGCACCCGCGUCCAUCCACCUCACCCUCAAGGGACCGACCUCCCUUGCGGGCGG